RNAcentral lists this ribosomal RNA (492 nucleotides) under uncultured bacterium. RNAcentral's name for it is "partial 16S ribosomal RNA". It matches the Rfam family "Bacterial small subunit ribosomal RNA", at positions 29 to 507 of the family's 1533-position model. The record is from RNAcentral.
AGUGAACGCUGGCAGUAGGCCUAACACAUGCAAGUCGAACGGCAGCACAGUAAGAGCUUGCUCUUACGGGUGGCGAGUGGCGGACGGGUGAGGAAUACAUCGGAAUCUACUUUUUCGUGGGGGAUAACGUAGGGAAACUUACGCUAAUACCGCAUACGACCUACGGGUGAAAGCAGGGGAUCUUCGGACCUUGCGCGAUUGAAUGAGCCGAUGUCGGAUUAGCUAGUUGGCGGGGUAAAGGCCCACCAAGGCGACGAUCCGUAGCUGGUCUGAGAGGAUGAUCAGCCACACUGGAACUGAGACACGGUCCAGACUCCUACGGGAGGCGGCAGUGGGGAAUAUUGGACAAUGGGCGCAAGCCUGAUCCAGCCAUACCGCGUGGGUGAAGAAGGCCUUCGGGUUGUAAAGCCCUUUUGUUGGGAAAGAAAAGCAGCAGGUUAAUACCCCGCUGUUCUGACGGUACCCAAAGAAUAAGCACCGGCUAACUUCGUG